This 73-nucleotide transfer RNA is filed under the name Camelus bactrianus (Bactrian camel). It matches the Rfam family "tRNA". Rfam says of the family: Transfer RNA (tRNA) molecules are approximately 80 nucleotides in length. The record is from Rfam by way of RNAcentral. RNAcentral also lists the same sequence under 1 other name. Lineage: Eukaryota; Metazoa; Chordata; Mammalia; Artiodactyla; Camelidae.
GAGGGUAUAGCUUAAGUAGUAGAGUGUAUGCUUUGCAUGCAUGACGUCCUGGCUUCUAUCCCCAGUACCUCCU